UGUUGUUUCCUGUGUGGCAGCCUUACCUUGAUGAACUUCACUGGCAGAUAGCUUUCCUGGUCUCAUGAGGUGGCGGCAGCAGGAUCAAACUGGACGACAUGUCACUGUCCCAUCCUACAAGACUUCUAUGUAGAGCUGCAA
This is a long non-coding RNA of Pseudoliparis swirei, 141 nucleotides long. RefSeq lists it as uncharacterized. The record is from RefSeq and is a predicted model, not a curated record. NCBI's taxonomy places the organism in Eukaryota, Metazoa, Chordata, Actinopteri, Perciformes, Liparidae. The transcript is spliced from 2 exons.